GGUACCUAAAAAAAAGUGUGGUUCCUACAGUCUUCGCAUGGAAUAGUCACAUUCAAAACAGACCUGGUGUUUGGGGAAGUUGACCGAAACCCCCUGCCCCUAAAGAGGAAGACGAGGCGAGAAAUGUUCGCUAACAACGAUGGACUAUACAGUCUCUGAUCCAAUCUAGAGGCAUGAUUACUGUGCAGGCCCUGAUCCCGCAGCUAUGGAUAUGGCCUUAAUAAUGGCGAACCAGGAGCAAGCAAGAGAAAUCCAGGAACUUUGAACAAAGCUGGAAAACCAGAAAACACAACACCACUUUCGUGUACAGUGCUUUACUGGGAUCUGACGAAGACAGGUUUUUACACAAGGAGACACAGGGAAAAGCUCUGGGAGCACUUCUCUGAAAGCCGGAACCUGAGGGACUGCAGUAUCAACGCCUCUGGGCUCAUGUCUAAAUCCAGCCCCAGGUCUCAUUGCGCUCAGCAGCUUCAGAAGUGCUGCAAAUCUCCUCAAGGGGGCAGCAGUCUGACAGCUGACACACCCACAGCAACUCCUACUGUCACUAGAACACUCCCCAAAGGCAAACGUUUCAGGAGUAGCUCCCUGUCCAUCAGUCCAGCCCAAAGACACCCAGACACUCAUCACUUCAAGACCCCACCAAUCUCUCGAGGACCAAGGGCUGCGGGUCCUGUCUAUAGGCAUCUGCAGGAGGUGGAUUCUACUGAGACUGAGGCAGAGUCUUUAAAACGGCUUGAAAAUAGGAGGGACAGAGCAGAUGACCGCCAUCGCAGUGGCUUCCUGAAUAUGCAAACCCGGUCUCGUGCACCUGAGAAGAAGCAAUGGAGGGAGGUGCCGUGCACUCGCUUGGACAGAAGACUAACACCUUCUCCUCCCUCUCUCCGCACACACUCCGUUCCCAUCAUCCCCUCUCUGCAGGGAAAUGAAUGCGAGUGGGCUCGUGUGGACAGGCGCAGCCGGGGUGACUUGCAGGGAAGUGGUCUAGCCGGGUCAGGCUUCUCUUCAAUCUUAUCCUCUGAGGCUGUACUUGAAUCUGAGGCCAGACCCAGUUACAUAUGUCCCCGCAGUGCUAAGACUGCUCUGGGAUUGCAAACAUACCACAUGCAACCACAUACCUUUGAAACUCCAAAAGGAUCAGAGCGCAUGCUCCAACACUCAAGCCUUGCGGCCUCUGGGACAGCAUCAUCCGGAUCCAGGUUGAAUAGCACAAACACUGGUAUUUCUGUGACUGUGCUUAAGUCAGAGGGUAAAAGCAUGCAGUAUACACCCAGACUGCUCUACAGCUCUUCCGGAGGCAGGGGUCCUCAGGCAGCAGAGCAAAGACAGACCCAUGAGCUUGGUAAACAUGUCCCCCUGCUGAUUGAUGGAGAAGCAACCUGUUUCCUUUCAGCAGCGAUGGGCAGAGGCGCUGGAAUUACUUGUGCCAAAACUUCUGACAGCUGAUUUGAUUAUUUCUCACUAACCUGCAAGUCAAGACUCCGCCUACCGGCAUCGAUGACACGGGUUGGGGGUUGGACCACCUGCCUAACUAAUUGGACCAAUCCCAUAUGGUCUGUGGUUUCUGUAAAUGAGCCACAGCAUUCUGGAUUAAAGAGAGGAAUUUAUUGACACAUUAAAGACACUGAAUUAUUAAGAAAACACACACACACACACAGUUUAUGUGAAUAAUGUGAAACAAUGUAGACAGACAUAAAGACUGGGGAGGGAGCUUGAUUUAAAAGUGUAUUGAAAAAGCUUUAUUUAAACAAAGCUUCUACUUAGAAACCAAAAUAGUGUGUCAUCUCUAUGUUGUUUCUCUAUUGUAAAGAACUCAAAUUAUAUAUGUCAUAUAUAUGUCGUAUAGACGUAUAUAUAUUUGACAUGACGUGACAAAAUAAAGACAAAGACUACCGAGGUAGUGUGGUUGAUUGAAUUACUUAUAUCUCCCCACUGCUUCUUUGUUGUCUGUCUUUCAAAUCACUGCAUCUUUGUUGUCUGUCUUUUGAAGGUACAGCAGAGUAAAUUGUAUUUGAAAAUAUGUUUAUCCUAUUCGGAACUAUGUCAACAGGUGUUAAAGGAGGAUUCUAAAUACUCUGAUUUUCUUCCAUAAAAAUUAUAAUCAAGUCACACCCAGUGCUGCCCAGACACCUAAUGCCAUAGUUUUUUGCGAACGUUGAGAGAUUUCAGAAUGUACACAGCAAAAGACAGAUUGUUAGAGUCUCUGUCUCUGUCUCCAUGGCAACAGCAGCCCCAUUGAGCAUGACAAUGACACUUCCUUCCCCAGUCAAAGUAAAGUCCUCUAUUAAAUAAGGAGCAUCAUACAGAUUUUAUCAUUUAUUUGUUUCUCUUUCCCAAAACAGCCAUUUUAAUUAAAGCGCCAUGUCUCAUUAUUUGGCAUCAGCUCUUUUCAUAAACUCCAGCAAAGGAAAGCAGAAAAGUUUUUAACUAGCCAAUCUUCAGGUGAGAAUUUUUCUCAGAGGGAAUUCAUCAGGGAAAAGAUUAAAGCGGCAGCACCAGGGUUUGUCUCUGGUCCUGUUCACAAUAAAGACCAGCAACACAAAGGAAACAAUUUAUAUUUUCCUGCAAAUUAGUA
This is a long non-coding RNA of Esox lucius (northern pike), 2572 nucleotides long. The record is from Ensembl. NCBI's taxonomy places the organism in Eukaryota, Metazoa, Chordata, Actinopteri, Esociformes, Esocidae.